RNAcentral lists this transfer RNA (75 nucleotides) under Bacillati bacterium. RNAcentral's name for it is "tRNA-Thr". It matches the Rfam family "tRNA". Rfam says of the family: Transfer RNA (tRNA) molecules are approximately 80 nucleotides in length. Their secondary structure includes four short double-helical elements and three loops (D, anti-codon, and T loops). The record is from RNAcentral. RNAcentral also lists the same sequence under 3 other names. Lineage: Bacteria; Bacillati.
GCCGUUGUAGCUCAGUGGUAGAGCACGUCCUUGGUAAGGACGAGGCCAUGGGUUCAAUCCCCAUCAACGGCUCCA